Molecule: long non-coding RNA, 1046 nt
Filed under: Equus caballus (horse)
Lineage: Eukaryota; Metazoa; Chordata; Mammalia; Perissodactyla; Equidae
Description: lncRNA (ENSECAG00000048556.1)
Source: RNAcentral
GAAGAUGGCCUGUUCCUGGUGGUGUUUAUAGAGGCCCGUCACAUUCCCCACCCCACCCCCGUCGUCCUGGCUUCAGAGAGGGCCAGAGCCAAGUUGACAGGCGGUCCCUGAGUCUUUGUUAAACUUGAGCUCAGAUGAACGUAGAAACACAAGAAGAGCCAAAUCAUAUGUUUAAACAGUUAAGAGGAAACCAGGCUCAGCAAGGAACGACAACCCUGGAUUUAGCCUGGGUGAAUUUUCCUUCUCUGGGAUUUCCUGUCCCUUUUCUGGAUGUUUCUAUCUAUCAAAAGUUCCCUGGCAGUUGGCUUAAGGUCAUCAACUCUGCGGUGAAAGAAAGCUUCACAGAAAACUUCAGCUUAGCUGCUAAAACAUCAACGGCUGCCGAAUGGUGUGGACCCCAAGCCAGGCUUAAACGACUCGAGCUCCGGCUUCUGUCGCUGCCCUCAGUGGAAAGAGAGCCCAAACUCGUACUGGGCUUAGGAACCACCCACAACAAUAAAGGCCAGCAGCUACCCCAGCUGCCUGGGGGGUGGGGACAGUGGGGCUGGUGGGCGGUGAGUCCUUAAGGAAUGUAAAAAAGAAGGAAGCUCCUGUGUGGGUAUGGAGGGGUGAGGAGCAGUGGAGACGGAGGGAGAGAAAAGAAAAAACACAAAGGAAUAUAGGCCGGAGAAGAUGGUGAGAGAAUGACAGCGACACAGUGAGACAGAAAGAGAGAACAAGCAAAGCACGGCGUCUAAAAAAUCCCCCAAAACCCCGACAAGUUGCUAACGUUUGUAAAUUUUGAGCGAUGGGCAGAAGGGGGUUUGUUACAUUAUUCGCUGUAUUUUUCUGUAUUUUUCUAAUUCACGUUUUCAAAAAAGGAACUGGGGGAAAAUGUCACCCAAAUGAAUAUUUUUAGUUCAAAAAUUUUGUGAACUUAGUUGUCAUCAUUCUAGGCAGCAACCACCCGGGAGAUUCGGUUUUCGGUGAUUCCAAAUUACCUUGAGGCACCUCAAGCUUCAGAAGAGGAAAAGGCAGGCAGGAGAGCGAGGAAGCUUGGGGGGGGG